RNAcentral lists this long non-coding RNA (628 nucleotides) under Fragaria vesca (wild strawberry). RNAcentral's name for it is "long non-coding RNA (FVES_LNC004740)". Lineage: Eukaryota; Viridiplantae; Streptophyta; Magnoliopsida; Rosales; Rosaceae. The record is from RNAcentral.
UGUAUUUAAAAUUUCUCGUUUUAAAAUCCUAUGGCUCAAAAUAUAAAAACGUGUGUAAAAUAUGAUGUCCCUCGAAUCAGACCCAUAAAUAUUACUAGGCAGAGUUGAAACGUUAAAUUUUCAUUUGAAGCAGUGGCAAAGCACACCAUCUCUUCCUUCUUCAUUGCCCUCCUUCUGGCAGCUGCAUGUCCAUAUUCAAUUCAUCACACCAUUGUUUUUUAUUCUUUAUCAAACUCUAUUUCUCGUUGCAAGAUAGAAAACCAAAAGGGCUAAACGGAGUUGGAUUGAUGUAAGCUGUCUGAAGUAGCUAGCUAGGAGGGGAUAGGAAAUUGGGGCAGAAGAGUUGAGCCACAAGCAUUUCUGUCAUUGUUGACAGCGCUGGCUAAAAUUCAUACCGAAACAAAGAAUUAAGCAUUUACUAUUCUAUUAAUUAGUUUGAGAUCAGUAAGGAAAAUCAGUAAGAACAUACUAUGGAACUUCAGAAAUGUAAGAGCAUCUCCAACAGGUUUCCUAAAAUUUCUCUAAAAUGGGAAAGCAAAAACCAAAAUCCCUAAAAGUUUUAUGCUCCAACUCCAACAGUUUCUCCAUUUUGAAGAUUUUAGCAAUAUUUAUUAAAACAAUAAAAAAU